This 148-nucleotide small RNA is filed under the name Macaca mulatta (Rhesus monkey). Its description in RNAcentral is "Metazoan signal recognition particle RNA (ENSMMUG00000063271.1)". The record is from Rfam by way of RNAcentral. Lineage: Eukaryota; Metazoa; Chordata; Mammalia; Primates; Cercopithecidae.
GCCGGGCAUGGUGGCACAUGCCUGUAGUUCCAGCUACUCAGGAGGCUGAGGCAGGAGAAUCACUUGAACCAGGGAGGUGGGGGUUGCAGUGAUCCAAGAUCGUGCCACUGCACUCCAGCCCUGGUGACAGAGUGAGACUCUGUCUCAA